AAAAAAACAAACUCUGGGUUCCCAUGUCCAACGUUUGACCGUCCGUCUUAUUUAAAAAAAUUAUAAAAAAAAUUAAAAAGACAAGUCAUGCAUAAAGUAUUAAUCAUGUUUUAUCAUCUAACAACAAUGAAAAUAUUAAUUAUAAAAAAUUUCAUAUAAGACGGACAGUCAAACGUUGGACACGGAAAACCAAGGUUUGCCUUUUU
This 206-nucleotide microRNA precursor is filed under the name Oryza nivara. RNAcentral's name for it is "MIR812 microRNA precursor family". It matches the Rfam family "MIR812 microRNA precursor family". The record is from Rfam by way of RNAcentral. Lineage: Eukaryota; Viridiplantae; Streptophyta; Magnoliopsida; Poales; Poaceae.